GUACCUCNGUAACGGCGAGUGAAGCGGUAACAGCUCAAAUUUGAAAUCUGGCCUCACGGUCCGAGUUGUAAUUUGUAGAGGAUGCUUCGAGCAUGGUCUGGCCUAAGUUCCUUGGAACAGGACGUCAUAGAGGGUGAGAAUCCCGUAUGCGGUCAGGUGCCUACGCUCAUGUGAAGCUCCUUCGACGAGUCGAGUUGUUUGGGAAUGCAGCUCAAAAUGGGUGGUAAAUUUCAUCUAAAGCUAAAUAUUGGCCAGAGACCGAUAGCGCACAAGUAGAGUGAUCGAAAGAUGAAAAGCACUUUGGAAAGAGAGUUAAACAGUACGUGAAAUUGUUGAAAGGGAAGCGCUUGCAACCAGACUUGCGCGCGGCCGAUCAUCCGGUGUUCUCACCGGUGCACUCGGCCGUGCUCAGGCCAGCAUCGGUUUUGGCGGCUGGAUAAAGGCCCUAGGAAUGUAGCUCCUCUCGGGGAGUGUUAUAGCCUAGGGUGCAAUGCAGCCUGCUGGGACCGAGGACCGCGCUUCGGCUAGGAUGCUGGCGUAAUGGUUGUAAGCGGCCCGUCUUGAAACACGGACCAAGGAGUCUAACAUCUAUGCGAGUGUUUGGGUGUCAAACCCAUACGCGUAAUGAAAGUGAACGGAGGUGAGAACCCUUAAGGGUGCAUCAUCGACCGAUCCUGAUGUCUUCGGAAGGAUUUGAGUAAGAGCAUAGCUGUUGGGACCCGAAAGAUGGUGAACUAUGCCUGAAUAGGGUGAAGCCAGAGGAAACUCUGGUGGANGCUCGCAGCGGUUCUGACGUGCAAAUCGAUCGUCAAAUUUGGGUAUAGGGGCGAAAGACUAAUCGAACCAUCUAGUAGCUGGUUCCUG
RNAcentral lists this ribosomal RNA (864 nucleotides) under Geomyces sp. RNAcentral's name for it is "LSU rRNA". It matches the Rfam family "Eukaryotic large subunit ribosomal RNA", at positions 73 to 960 of the family's 3401-position model. Lineage: Eukaryota; Fungi; Ascomycota; Leotiomycetes; Thelebolales; Pseudeurotiaceae. The record is from RNAcentral.